RNAcentral lists this ribosomal RNA (253 nucleotides) under uncultured bacterium. Its description in RNAcentral is "partial 16S ribosomal RNA". It matches the Rfam family "Bacterial small subunit ribosomal RNA", at positions 524 to 776 of the family's 1533-position model. The record is from RNAcentral.
UACGUAGGGUGCAAGCGUUAAUCGGAAUUACUGGGCGUAAAGCGUGCGCAGGCGGUGAUGUAAGACAGGUGUGAAAUCCCCGGGCUUAACCUGGGAACUGCAUUUGUGACUGCAUCGCUGGAGUGCGGCAGAGGGGGAUGGAAUUCCGCGUGUAGCAGUGAAAUGCGUAGAGAUGCGGAGGAACACCGAUGGCGAAGGCAGCCCCCUGGGUCGACACUGACGCUCAGGCACGAAAGCGUGGGGAGCAAACAGG